Molecule: ribosomal RNA, 468 nt
Filed under: uncultured bacterium
Lineage: Bacteria
Description: partial 16S ribosomal RNA
Rfam family: Bacterial small subunit ribosomal RNA
Source: RNAcentral
GACGAACGCUGGCGGCGUGCUUAACACAUGCAAGUCGAACGGAAAGGCCCUGCUUUUGUGGGGUGCUCGAGUGGCGAACGGGUGAGUAACACGUGAGUAACCUGCCCUUGACUUUGGGAUAACUUCAGGAAACUGGGGCUAAUACCGGAUAGGAGCUCCUGCUGCAUGGUGGGGGUUGGAAAGUUUCGGCGGUUGGGGAUGGACUCGCGGCUUAUCAGCUUGUUGGUGGGGUAGUGGCUUACCAAGGCUUUGACGGGUAGCCGGCCUGAGAGGGUGACCGGCCACAUUGGGACUGAGAGACGGCCCAGACUCCUACGGGAGGCAGCAGUGGGGAAUAUUGCACAAUGGGCGGAAGCCUGAUGCAGCAACGCCGCGUGCGGGAUGACGGCCUUCGGGUUGUAAACCGCUUUCGCCGGUGACGAAGCGUGAGUGACGGUAAUGGGUAAAGAAGCACCGGCUAACUACGUG